CUCGGCGUAGCGGAUGCGGGCACGCCGCAGUCCGCUACGCACGGGCGCGGUGUCGAGGUCGGCGUCUUCCCAUACGUUCAGACGUUCGGCCAGGC
This 95-nucleotide transfer RNA is filed under the name Streptomyces canarius. Its description in RNAcentral is "tRNA-Arg". Lineage: Bacteria; Bacillati; Actinomycetota; Actinomycetes; Kitasatosporales; Streptomycetaceae. The record is from RNAcentral.